Molecule: non-coding RNA, 115 nt
Organism: Triticum aestivum (bread wheat)
Lineage: Eukaryota; Viridiplantae; Streptophyta; Magnoliopsida; Poales; Poaceae
Source: Rfam
CAAAUACUCCCUCCGUUUGGAACUACUUGUCUCGGAAAUGGAUGUAUAUAGAACUAAUUUAGUUCUAGAUACAUCCAUUCCCGAGACAAGUAAUUCCGAACGGAGGGAGUAGUAC